CCUACGGGAGGCAGCAAUGGGGAAUAUUGCACAAUGGGGGAAACCCUGAUGCAGCAACGCCGCGUGAGUGAUGACGGUCUUCGGAUUGUAAAGCUCUGUCUUUGGGGACGAUAAUGACGGUACCCAAGGAGGAAGCCACGGCUAACUACGUGCCAGCAGCCGCGGUAAU
RNAcentral lists this ribosomal RNA (169 nucleotides) under uncultured Clostridium sp. Its description in RNAcentral is "partial 16S ribosomal RNA". It matches the Rfam family "Bacterial small subunit ribosomal RNA", at positions 338 to 524 of the family's 1533-position model. The record is from RNAcentral. Lineage: Bacteria; Bacillati; Bacillota; Clostridia; Eubacteriales; Clostridiaceae.